GAGAUAAACUAACUCCAGCUUACGUUGUGAUUUAUAUGUUAACGCUUGCUCCAGCAGCUUGCGAUCCUGUGUGAUGCUGGCAAGAGAAACGCAUACUACACUAACUGGCAACGUCGCUCCUUCUGAUUUCCUCCCACUACUCUACUCCCUCCACGACCACCAUAACGACCAAACACUGCCAAGUCAUUGUACUUUGCAGUUUACCGUGUUUUUGUUUUCGUGUGCUUCGGUUAAUGCGGUGCUUGAGACGCUUUACUUUCUCAAGUCUUUGCAAAGGAUGCAUGCCCGGUGUUCAACAGCUGUACACUGAUGG
Molecule: long non-coding RNA, 313 nt
Filed under: Octopus vulgaris (common octopus)
Lineage: Eukaryota; Metazoa; Mollusca; Cephalopoda; Octopoda; Octopodidae
Source: RNAcentral